Suricata suricatta (meerkat) is the source of this 1121-nucleotide long non-coding RNA. RefSeq lists it as uncharacterized. Lineage: Eukaryota; Metazoa; Chordata; Mammalia; Carnivora; Herpestidae. The transcript is spliced from 3 exons. The record is from RefSeq and is a predicted model, not a curated record.
GAAGAGGAAGAGGGACCAGGCCUUGCGCUGUCUCCGCCUUGUGAGGACACGGCCAGGAGGCAGCCCCCUGGAAGCCAGGGAGAGAGCUCUGACAGGGGCCCAACCUGCUGGCCCCGCCGUGAUCUUGGACUUCCAGCCUCCAGAACAGUGAGAAAUACAUGUCUGUCACUCAAGUGACCCAGCCCGUGGCAUUCUGAGACAGCAGCUCAGGGUCUCAAGACGCCCUGCUGUCCCUGCAGUCUCCCCGCCACCCUAAGUGACAGCCCCGGGGAUCCAGCUGCGGGGCCACCGCGACUUCUGCCCCUCACGCCCCCGGUGCAGUCGUUAGCCCACCUUGUUGGCUUCUCUGUUUAAAUGUAUCAAGGUUCCUACCAGUGCUCCCUCCUCCUCUGGGGGGGGCGCCAUCUUAGUCCGAGGCCCCAGCCUCUCCCACCCGGGGCCUCCAGCGAAACCUCCCAGCUGUCCUCCUGCUCCCGGUCCCCACUCCCCACGCAGGCGAUCCCUCCGCACCGUGGCAGGGCUGCCUUUCCAAAUUGCAGUAAUCCCCACACUCCACAGAGCUCGAACUCAACCCCGAGACCAAGAGCUGCACGACCCUCCGACGGAGCCAAGCAGGCCCCCCACGUUCAAACUGUUGGUGAAAUCUGGCAUUGUGGCUUUUGGAUGUGUGUUCCCAAAUCGACCAAGACGUUGAGGCUCUCCCGCUAACUUUGCUGACCUUCUCUCCUCUCAUUCGCCUAUUUACCACUUUGCUCUCGUGCUUCCCCGCAACGUGGAGGGCCUGCCCCUGUGAGCCUACACUUCCUUCAGGGCCGGUCUCCAUCUCCCCUCUCUACACAAGCCCAGCCUGCAAAGGAUUAAAAUCUAAAACAUCAGAAACAGAAUGUGACAAAAUGGCCACGUUGGAGAGUCAGAGCGAAAGCUGGCCUGAGUGGGAUCUCAGGAGUGAAAUGUGCCAAACAGCCUUGAAGCUGGGGAUUAAAGUCUUUCUUCCAUCUGGAACCUGGCGUCUACAAAACAGUGACCACAUUGUGAGCCUGCCCAGAAAGAGCGCCGGGUUGCCAGGCUACCCUGCGAUGUAUAUAUGGCUUGGCAGCUGGCCUGGCUUUGUAGCUCAGAGG